UGCUGACUUGUCCGGCUGCAGCCAGCGCUACCUUCCCCAUCUACAGCUCUCUUGCUUUGCAGAGCCUAGGGUUAUCCCUCCAUUUCCAGCCCCAUGCCCUAAAAAUAGCACCCUACAACUUGUACCGGUUCCCGCGAAUCUGCGGUUUCGGGUCUGUCCCGGGCUCGGUCUCCUGCCCGUCAAGAAGAGAGCUUACGACACUGGUACUGCUCUCGGCGGCCGCGCAACCUCCGCAUCCGCGCAGUCUCUCUCGCCGUCUCCCCGCUGCCAUCGCGGGGAAACUCCCAUUUAUCCCAAUCCCGGCGACAAACACGCCCCGCUCGGCUUCUCAGACGGUCGUUUUCGGACAGAAGAGAUUGGAUAUGUUCGAUGUUUAAGAGAUUUAAUAUUAAAAAUACGUAGCAACUAAAAUCACGUUCGUGUCCCGGCUGCUCCGCGCAAAUAAAGCGCCUCUCUCCUCUCC
Molecule: long non-coding RNA, 463 nt
Organism: Lonchura striata (white-rumped munia)
Lineage: Eukaryota; Metazoa; Chordata; Aves; Passeriformes; Estrildidae
Source: RefSeq, a predicted model, not a curated record